GCCCAGACUCCUACGGGAGGCAGCAGUGAGGAAUAUUGGUCAAUGGGCUUACGCCUGAACCAGCCAAGUCGCGUGAGGGAAGACUGCCCUAUGGGUUGUAAACCUCUUUUGUCAGGGAGCAAUUGGCGCUACGUGUAGCGUUAUCGAGAGUACCUGAAGAAAAAGCAUCGGCUAACUCCGUGCCAGCAGCCGCGGUAAUACGGAGGAUGCGAGCGUUAUCCGGAUUUAUUGGGUUUAAAGGGUGCGUAGGAGGAGUGUGAGGUCGGGGGAAAAAGCCCGGGGCUAAACCCCGGGGAGCCGUUGAAACUGGCUGUCUUGAGAUGUCGAGAGGUAUGCGGAAUGCGCAGUGUAGCGGUGAAAUGCUUAGAUAUUGCGCAGAACUCCGAUUGCGAAGGCAGCAUACCGGCGGCGAUCUGACGCUGAGGCACGAAAGCGUGGGUAUCGAACAGGAUUAGAUACCCCAGUAGC
This 468-nucleotide ribosomal RNA is filed under the name uncultured bacterium. RNAcentral's name for it is "bacterial SSU rRNA". It matches the Rfam family "Bacterial small subunit ribosomal RNA", at positions 329 to 794 of the family's 1533-position model. The record is from RNAcentral.